AGAACACGCGCGAGACGGUGGCGAGCGUGAUCCGCCUCGUCACCUGGCAGUACCGCUGGUACAGCGAGUUCUCGCCCGAGCUGCUCUACACGAUCCGCACGCUGAUCGAGGACGAAGGCGCCGUCAAGGUCCGGAGCAUCAUCCAGGCCACCAGCCUGCCCCAAAAUGUGCUGGACCUGACGCACCACUACGCCGCUCUGUGCCA
Molecule: unclassified non-coding RNA, 205 nt
Filed under: Hevea brasiliensis (rubber tree)
Lineage: Eukaryota; Viridiplantae; Streptophyta; Magnoliopsida; Malpighiales; Euphorbiaceae
Source: RNAcentral